CAACUUUUUCAUUAAACUUUUGAC
This 24-nucleotide non-coding RNA is filed under the name Arabidopsis thaliana (thale cress). The record is from RNAcentral. Lineage: Eukaryota; Viridiplantae; Streptophyta; Magnoliopsida; Brassicales; Brassicaceae.